GGUCCACCUAAAAAGUAAUAUACCGCCUGUGGUUGCAUUGAUAAUGCCAAUAACUCUACCGUUGGAACAGUAGGAUGAAAAGGUUCAAGUCAUCCAGCAGCUUAAUGGAAUAAAGAGCAGAAGUAGUGUCGCAUGUGCUUUAUCAAGCACAUCACAGGUGGAUGGGCUGUUGGAGGCGUUGGAACAUGAAUGCAGACGGUGGCAUUGUGUGCGUUAGGAGUUCACGUAAACAACGUGGAGGUAUUUCAGAGUGUCUCGGGACGAUGUUGUGCACACCUUCUAUGCUGAAAGUC
Molecule: long non-coding RNA, 293 nt
Organism: Eptesicus fuscus (big brown bat)
Lineage: Eukaryota; Metazoa; Chordata; Mammalia; Chiroptera; Vespertilionidae
Exons: 3
Source: RefSeq, a predicted model, not a curated record